CGGGGUGCAGCAGGCGCGAAAACUUUACCCUGCGGGAAACCGUGAUAAGGGAACUCCGAGUGCCCGUAAAAUCGGGCUGUCCAUCUGUUUAAAUAACAGGUGAAGAAAGGGCCGGGCAAGACCGGUGCCAGCCGCCGCGGUAAUACCGGCGGCUCGAGUGGUGGCCACUAUUACUGGGCUUAAAGCGAUCGUAGCUGGUCUGUUAAGUCUCUGGGGAAAUCUACUGGCUUAACCAAUAGGCGUUUCAGGGAUACUGGCAGACUAGGGACCGGGAGAGGUGAGGGGUACUCCAGGGGUAGGAGUGAAAUCCUGUAAUCCUUGGGGGACCACCUGUGGCGAAGGCGCCUCACCAGAACGGCUCCGACAGUGAGGGACGAAAGCUGGGGGAGCAAACCGGAUUAGAUACCCGGGUAGUCCCAGCCGUAAACGAUGCGCGUUAGGUGUAUCGGUGACCACGAGUCACCGAGGUGCCGAAGAGAAAUCGUGAAACGUGCCGCCUGGGAAGUACGGUCGCAAGGCUGAAACUUAAAGGAAUUGGCGGGGGAGCAC
RNAcentral lists this ribosomal RNA (549 nucleotides) under uncultured archaeon. Its description in RNAcentral is "bacterial SSU rRNA". It matches the Rfam family "Archaeal small subunit ribosomal RNA", at positions 326 to 879 of the family's 1478-position model. The record is from RNAcentral.